Neofelis nebulosa (Clouded leopard) is the source of this 1628-nucleotide long non-coding RNA. RefSeq lists it as uncharacterized. The transcript has 3 exons. Lineage: Eukaryota; Metazoa; Chordata; Mammalia; Carnivora; Felidae. The record is from RefSeq and is a predicted model, not a curated record.
UCGAGCCCGUCCCCUCGCCUGCAGGGACAUGCGGCCCGGGACGGCCACCCGCAGGCCCCGCGCUUGCUCCGCGCCGGGAAGGGAGGAGCCGAAGGGGUGCCGGGGGGCACGGGACGCAGCCGGUUCUUCCUGCCGCCCGAGCGGGACCCGGCGCUCACGUCCCCUAACGCCGGAGGCGCCCCGCGCCGGGGAGCUGUCCGCCCCCGUGGUUCUGAACCAGGCGCGGCAGAAACUCCAGGUGUAUAAUGUAAUGAUUCAACAAUGCUAUGUGCUACUCAAUGCUUAGCUCGACCCCAUGAAGGGACAUUCGUGGUGACCACAGGCAGAGAAGGUAAAGGGGACAUAUUCAUUAUCCUGUGGACGGUGUCUUGUUCAAGAGACUGCAGAAAGCUGGUGAGCAUUUCUGAAGGCUUCUCAGAGGCACAAAACUAGCUAUGAUUCACGGAAAAUGGCAUUUGCUUUUGCGAAAAUGCCACACCUCCUUUUGGGAGACGUGAGUUACUUAAAGAAGACACGAUUGAAUCCUGGGGCACCCUCGAGACUCACAUCCACAUACAGAUUACAUCCCACGUUGUACCCUUGUCAGAGGCCAUUUCUGAGACACACACACACACACACACACACACACAUCCAAACCCACACGCAAAACACCAUUUGUUAGAAAUAUCUUUAGGAGACCAUGAUAGCAUCACUUUCCCCUGGGACCUUCCAGAGAGCAGUGGUUUAAAUUUUAGUUUUACCCACCAGCUGUGCCACCUGGCACGAAUUACCUAAUUUUUCUCCUCAUCAGUUCCCUCCUCUAUACAAUGGGCAUAACGAUAUCUACCCCAUGUGAUGUCAGAAGGUGGAAUGCCUGUGAAAAUAAAGUCUAUACAAGUGUCAGUUGAGUUUAUCAUUGGGCACAAAGCAUAUUUAUAGAGCAGAAUAGCAGAAAUCCCAGGCACAGAGUGAAUGGGCCCACGGUAGACCCCUCCUCCUCUUUCACUCUUGAUCUUGUCGACAAGUUCUUUUACAAGUCACAGUGUCUAUGCUCCACCCUGACCAAGAGCAGGAGGGCAACAGCAUCAAAUGCCUUUGCUCAGCUGGGGUAUUGAAUUCUGGGAUGGGCUGUAGCCUUUAUGGCAGGGGACAGGUCCCCAAACCAGAAGUUCCUUCGGUUUCACGUGGCCUUCUUCUUUAGGGGAGCCUCUAAUACAAAUGUUCCUGUGUCGUGGGACAGGUGGAUAUUUGCUAGCAGGGACGACAAGGAGGAGAGUUCGCCAUUGCGGGAAACUCUGUGAUCAACUUUGCCCAAGAAAAACCUGAAUUGGUCUGUGUACUGUGCCCCCUAUGAGAGUCAGGGAGUCCCCUACCCUUAUGCCUCCAUGUCUGAUACAUUUGACCCCGGCCCCUUAUCGCGGUAAUUAAACGGGGGGUGGAGGGCUGCCUUUCCCAAAGCCAGCCAAGUGAUAAGCCAGCCUGUGACUUGUAGCUCGAUCCCCCUUAUGAAUGGCACAUCAGUCCCGAACAUUUGAAACGACCCUUCUAUUUCCACGUUGUUCUCAGGAGAAUUGUUUCUUCCAAGCAACUGCUGCCUGAUCUUAGUUUGCUCUUGAGUCUCAAACUAUGUGCAUUCUUUUUUUUUUCUU